Acomys russatus (golden spiny mouse) is the source of this 72-nucleotide small nucleolar RNA. RefSeq annotates it as small nucleolar RNA SNORD113/SNORD114 family. The record is from RefSeq and is a predicted model, not a curated record. Lineage: Eukaryota; Metazoa; Chordata; Mammalia; Rodentia; Muridae. The transcript has a single exon.
UGGAUAAUUGGUGGCCAAUGUUGGUAUAUAAGUCUUGAAUCAUGACUGUAGCCCUGGGAGUCUGAAGUUUAC